UCGAGAGGCUUUGGCAAUGGGGGAAACCCUGACCAAGCGACGCCGCGUGGAGGAUGAAGGCCCUUGGGUUGUAAACUCCUUUUGCAGGGGAAGAAAUGCGAUCAGGUGAAUAAUCUGGUCGUUUGACGGUACCCUGCGAAUAAGCUCCGGCUAACUUCGUGCCAGCAGCCGCGGUAAUACGAAGGGGGCAAGCGUUGUUCGGAAUUACUGGGCGUAAAGGGCGCGUAGGCGGCUUACCAAGUCAGGCGUGAAAUUCCCGGGCUCAACCUGGGGGCUGCGCUUGAUACUGGUGAGCUUGGAUGCGGGAGAGGAUAGUGGAAUUCCCAGUGUAGAGGUGAAAUUCGUAGAUAUUGGGAAGAACACCGGUGGCGAAGGCGGCUAUCUGGCCCGUGAUUGACGCUGAGGCGCGAAAGCGUGGGGAGCAAA
This 426-nucleotide ribosomal RNA is filed under the name uncultured bacterium. Its description in RNAcentral is "bacterial SSU rRNA". It matches the Rfam family "Bacterial small subunit ribosomal RNA", at positions 355 to 772 of the family's 1533-position model. The record is from RNAcentral.